RNAcentral lists this ribosomal RNA (440 nucleotides) under uncultured bacterium. RNAcentral's name for it is "bacterial SSU rRNA". It matches the Rfam family "Bacterial small subunit ribosomal RNA", at positions 30 to 470 of the family's 1533-position model. The record is from RNAcentral.
AUUGAACGCUGGCGGAAUGCUUUACACAUGCAAGUCGAACGGCAGCACGGGAGCUUGCUCCUGGUGGCGAGUGGCGAACGGGUGAGUAACAUAUCGGAACGUACCCAGUAAUGGGGAGUAACUAGUCGAAAGAUUAGCUAAUACCGCAUACGCCCUGAGGGGAAAGCGGGGAUCGUAAGACCUCGCGUUAUUGGAGCGGCCGAUAUCUGAUUAGCUAGUUGGUGGGGUAAAGGCCUACCAAGGCGACGAUCAGUAGCUGGUCUGAGAGGACGACCAGCCACACUGGAACUGAGACACGGUCCAGACUCCUACGGGAGGCAGCAGUGGGGAAUUUUGGACAAUGGGCGCAAGCCUGAUCCAGCCAUUCCGCGUGAGUGAAGAAGGCCUCGGUUGUAAGCUCUUCGCAAGGUAAGAAACGAUACGAGCGAAUAACUCGUGUU